GCCUGCCCAAUGGUUGUAUCUAAAAGCGGUUGAUAAAAGUCGACCUCGUAAGGACAAUUGAAUGGCCGCGGUAACACUGACCGUGAUAAUGUAGCGUAAUCAAUAGCCAAUUAAUUGUUGGCCAGUAUGAAUGGCGCCACGAAGGCCCCACUGUCUUAAGGAAAUUCCCAGUGAAAUUGAAUUCGUAGUGAAGAUGCUACGUCCAAUUUGUUAGACGAAAAGACCCCGUUGAGCUUUACUGGGGCACUUACACGGCCCCGGCCUUCCAAACUAGGCUUACUAUGCCUAGAGGUCGGCCGAAUUUAAAUGGGUGGUUUAGAUUAUGUGGCAGCCCCCCGUCGGGGCAGAUGAAACCCCACUCCCCCAUGUCAAAGGGGCUAACCCCCCCCCUUGGGGGGGGACAGUGUAAGUAGGACAGUUUGGUUGGGGCGACCGCCUUUUAAAGAGUAACGAAGGUGCGCUUAAGGUGCGCAAAUAAUGACUGAAGCCUGACUGCGAGGGGGACACCCCGAGCAGACACCCCCAAGCCUGCCCUAAGGGCGGCGGUGGGGUGGGCCAUAGUGACCCGUUAAUUUAGAGUGGAAUAG
This 587-nucleotide ribosomal RNA is filed under the name Hydrozoanthus gracilis. RNAcentral describes it as "partial 16S large subunit ribsomal RNA". It matches the Rfam family "Bacterial large subunit ribosomal RNA", at positions 1857 to 2441 of the family's 2925-position model. Lineage: Eukaryota; Metazoa; Cnidaria; Anthozoa; Zoantharia; Hydrozoanthidae. The record is from RNAcentral.